UCAGCUUAUGGUGAUGGAAAGAGAGAUGUCAAUAAUUCCACAUUUUCUGGCUUGCAUUGUUUGAUGAAAGGUGACCCCAUUCCCUGAGUUAAAGAAUGCUGAAAGAAGACCAGGCUUGAGGAGGAAGGAUCAUGCAUUUGCUUUUGGACCUGUAGAGUUUGAGGACAUGUUCAGCACCAGGAGGAAUUUGCAUCCAAGUCCGUCUCCCUGCUAAGUGGUAUUUUGAGAAUUCCGAAGCUUAGUCUCAGAGAAGAGCUGACCUGAACUUGCCGAGGCUCCCACUGCAUUGUAGCUUUUCUCUGGAGAACAAAAACUGCCAUUGUCCAGCAGCUCAUUAGCAUGACUGUACAGCCUCCGGAGUUAGCAAGGUGAUGCAAAAAUAAUAUGACAAGAUCCAUGUCUUCAAUGAGCUACAAUCCUACUGGGACAUGAGACUGUGCUUAUAAUAUGAUGAAAGAAUAAGAAAAUUUUAAAGAUGAAAACACAGCAGCAACAGGUGCCAUUUUGGAAGCAAGAAGCAGAGAACAAGCUCUCACUGGGCAUUAAAUCUGCCGGCAUCUUGAUCUUGAACUUCUCAACCUCCAGA
Molecule: long non-coding RNA, 586 nt
Filed under: Homo sapiens (human)
Lineage: Eukaryota; Metazoa; Chordata; Mammalia; Primates; Hominidae
Description: HSALNT0377168
Source: RNAcentral